Molecule: ribosomal RNA, 253 nt
Filed under: uncultured bacterium
Lineage: Bacteria
Description: partial 16S ribosomal RNA
Rfam family: Bacterial small subunit ribosomal RNA
Source: RNAcentral
UACGAAGGGGGCUAGCGUUGUUCGGAAUUACUGGGCGUAAGGCGUGCGCAGGCGGCUUCUCAAGUCAGGGGUGAAAGCCCAGAGCUCAACUCUGGAAUUGCCUUUGAGACUGAGUGGCUUGAGUACGAGAGAGGUGAGUGGAAUUCCCAGUGUAGAGGUGAAAUUCGUAGAUAUUGGGAAGAACACCGGUGGCGAAGGCGGCUCACUGGCUCGUAACUGACGCUCAUGCACGACAGCGUGGGGAUCAAACAGG